ACGACCCUACGGGGGGCAGCAGUGAGGAAUAUUGGUCAAUGGGCUUACGCCUGAACCAGCCACGUCGCGUGAGGGAAGACUGCCCUAUGGGUUGUAAACCUCUUUUGUCAGGGAGCAACGCCGGCUACGUGUAGCCGGACUGAGAGUACCUGAAGAAAAAGCAUCGGCUAACUCCGUGCCAGCAGCCGCGGUAAUACGGAGGAUGCGAGCGUUAUCCGGAUUUAUUGGGUUUAAAGGGUGCGUAGGCGGUUCGAUAAGUUAGAGGUGAAAUCCCGGGGCUCAACUCCGGCACUGCCUCUGAUACU
This 305-nucleotide ribosomal RNA is filed under the name uncultured bacterium. RNAcentral describes it as "bacterial SSU rRNA". It matches the Rfam family "Bacterial small subunit ribosomal RNA", at positions 333 to 634 of the family's 1533-position model. The record is from RNAcentral.